UGAUAAAGUUAAUUUUCAAUAUAAUUUCCAAUUAACAGCUAUCUCAGGGCCCAGCCUCACAUUUUCUCUCUCUCUCCAUGUCUCAAUCCUCUUU
Non-coding RNA from Ceratotherium simum simum (southern white rhinoceros), 94 nucleotides. Lineage: Eukaryota; Metazoa; Chordata; Mammalia; Perissodactyla; Rhinocerotidae. The record is from RefSeq and is a predicted model, not a curated record.